GCACCAGACUCCUACGGGAGGCAGCAGUGGGGAAUAUUGCACAAUGGGGGAAACCCUGAUGCAGCGACGCCGCGUGAGUGAAGAAGUCAUUCGUUCCGUAAAGCUCUAUCAGCAGGGAAGAAAAUGACGGUACCUGAGUAAGAAGCCCCGGCUAACUACGUGCCAGCAGCCGCGGUAAUACGUAGGGGGCAAGCGUUAUCCGGAUUUACUGGGUGUAAAGGGUGCGUAGACGGGAAAUUAAGUUAGUUGUGAAAUCCCUCGGCUCAACUGAGGAACUGCAACUAAAACUGAUUUUCUUGAGUGUAGGAGAGGUAAGUGGAAUUCCUAGUGUAGCGGUGAAAUGCGUAGAUAUUAGGAGGAACACCAGUGGCGAAGGCGACUUACUGGACUGUAACUGACGUUGAGGCACGAAAGUGUGGGGAGCAAACAGGAUUAGAUACCCGCGUA
This 447-nucleotide ribosomal RNA is filed under the name uncultured bacterium. Its description in RNAcentral is "bacterial SSU rRNA". It matches the Rfam family "Bacterial small subunit ribosomal RNA", at positions 328 to 792 of the family's 1533-position model. The record is from RNAcentral.